RNAcentral lists this ribosomal RNA (639 nucleotides) under Prototheca wickerhamii. RNAcentral describes it as "partial large subunit ribosomal RNA". It matches the Rfam family "Eukaryotic large subunit ribosomal RNA", at positions 66 to 630 of the family's 3401-position model. Lineage: Eukaryota; Viridiplantae; Chlorophyta; Trebouxiophyceae; Chlorellales; Chlorellaceae. The record is from RNAcentral.
UAUCCAGGAUUCCCCUAGUAACGGCGAGAGAACCGGGAGAAUAGAUUGAGCCCCCUUUGUAAAUAUGAAAAAAUUUUAUUUUUUUUGAAUUGUAGUCUUCACAGGUUGGUCUUUUUGGCAGAAGUAGGUUGUCCAACAACCUUGGAAGAGGCCGCCCGACAGGGGGAGAACCCCCUUGGACAAAUUCAUUUUUUCAGAAACACACACCGCUCUCCUGUUUGAGUCGGGGUGUUUGGGAAAGCAGCCCUAAUGUGUCGGGGGUAAAUCCCCUCGAAGGGUAAAAAAUGGCGGGGGGCCGAUAACGAACAAAUACCGUGAGGGAAAAAAGAAAAAAACUUUGAAAAAAAAAUCAAAAAUGCUUGAAAAUGUUGAGAGGGAAAAGAUUUUAGUUUAGGUGAGGUUUGGGUGGUGCAGAGAUUUGGGGUUGGUUGCAGAGUUCAUUUUUGUGCCUCCCCAACCCUCCUGCACCCCCGGUCAGCAUCGGUUUCUGGAGGGGUAGAAACGCCAGGUUUUGGUUUGGACAGAAGUUGAUUUUUCAAUUUCAGUCCAACGCCUGGCUCAUGCCCUUCUCUUUUUGAGACCGGGGGAUCUUGAGCACGGUGCCCCAGAAGGGAUUAAUUCUUCCGCACCGGUGAUGGA